Agelaius phoeniceus (red-winged blackbird) is the source of this 707-nucleotide long non-coding RNA. RefSeq lists it as uncharacterized. Lineage: Eukaryota; Metazoa; Chordata; Aves; Passeriformes; Icteridae. The record is from RefSeq and is a predicted model, not a curated record.
CACAGAAUUGUCAGGGCUACUUUCUGUCUCGGUGUGAUUGGAAAUAAGACUGAAAACGGUACCUUAGCAAGAAGAUGUGCAUAUGCCUCUAAAGUUGGGUUUUCAAGAGACAAAAGAAACACAAACAAGAACUCACGAUGUUCUUAUAACACCAGCUAAGUGGGCUUUGACGUAUGCUGAGAUCAGAGAGUAAGAUGCAUGCUGCACCAUGGGAACAAGGAUCUUAUGAGGAUAUUUGGUAUCUAUAAUAUACCAUCUUAAAAGAAAAUCCGGAAUUGCUCACCUCCACCUGCAAAUAAAUGUGGAAAGAAGCAGCCUGGACAGAUUUACCCUUACAGAACAUAAUUAUGAUAAUAGCUACACAUAGAUUUAUUUAAGAUUACCCCUAUUCUUGGAAUUUUCUUAAAGAUUUGUGGAACUCUUAGCAUCUCCUCUUCCUUAUUUUUUUUCUCCUGGUAGUGCAGUGUGAUGAUCAGGUUCAGUGUCUAAUGAGGCAGCCAUUCUGAACACGUAGAGACAAAGAAGAGGUUUCCCUGGCAACGAGGACCAUGCCAGAGCUCUCAGAACAGUUAUUUCCCCUGUAUUCAGGUUCCUUUUCUGUUUAGGAUGCCUAUUAGUGUGAGUUCACAGGCAAGGCCUGGCAAGCUUUUCAGAGAUUACAGCUCCUAAAUAUACAUAACAAAAUACAGCUAAGGCUAUGAUUUAUG